CCUACGGGUGGCAGCAGUAGGGAAUAUUGCGCAAUGGACGGAAGUCUGACGCAGCGACGCCGCGUGAGCGAUGAGGGUCUUCGGAUCGUAAAGCUCUAUCCUUGGGGAAGAAGGUCUUCGGACUUGACGGUACCCAAGAAGAAAGCCCCGGCUAACUACGUGCCAGCAGCCGCGGUAAUACGUAGGUGGCAAGCGUUGUCCGGAAUUACUGGGUGUAAAGGGCGUGUAGGCGGGAGGACAAGUCAGAUGUGAAAGCCCAUGGCUUAACUGUGGAAUUGCAUCUGAAACUGUUGUUCUUGAGUGCUGGAGAGGAAAGUGGAAUUCCUAGUGUAGCGGUGAAAUGCGUAGAGAUUAGGAGGAACACCAGUGGCGAAGGCGGCUUUCUGGACAGUAACUGACGCUGAGGCGCGAAAGCGUGGGGAGCAAACAGGAUUAGAUACCCUGGUAGUC
RNAcentral lists this ribosomal RNA (450 nucleotides) under uncultured bacterium. Its description in RNAcentral is "bacterial SSU rRNA". It matches the Rfam family "Bacterial small subunit ribosomal RNA", at positions 338 to 795 of the family's 1533-position model. The record is from RNAcentral.